CCUCAAUCCCAUCCCAUGAGUCUCUUAAAUGCUCUGUGAUUUAUCAGAGUUUUCUGCUUUUGCAGACCCCUUGGCAGAAAGAGCACACACUGCUGGAGUGCAAGAGCUUUGUUCAGAGCAGGGGAGGGGAAGCUGUGACUGCUAUUUUGGAUCUCACCUGGCAAAACCUAAGCUGAGUAGAAAAGUGUAAUUAUUUUAUCUUCACAUCUUCUUCCCCUCUCUAUGCUCUUGCAUCUAUGAGUUGGAUGAGGGCACGUUUUGUUUUAGGGCUUUUAUUCUCAGGAAUAAAAUACUAUGUGCAUCUCCUAGGAAGCUGUGUGGAUAAAACAUUGCUCAAGACUUAGGCUGCAAGCCAAGUUACAGAGAAUCAGUUCUACAUUCUGAGCUGUAUUGAAUGCAUUCCAGUUAGGAAACAAUGAUCAGUUUUGGAAUAUUUGUCUUAAAAUCCUUCUGAACAAAGUUCUUUAGAUUUGACUAAUGUUUUUUACUUUUGGUUAAGUCAUUAGGUGAUAUAAUGAUAUAUCAGACCUUCUCUGAAAGAAGAAAGAGGCCACCUAGUGCUGAAUUACAGACUGCUGUAGAAGACUAUCUGCUUGGAAGGCAUGUACAGCACCAACAAAAUCAAUAUCACAUGCAGAAAUGGAACUUUAAAAACCCAAGCAAACUCCUGCAGCUACAUUUAGUAAGAGAAGAUUGAAGUGCAUGCUAACCUUGACCUGAAUGCCAAGAAAGAUGCCCCAUGAUGUCAUGCUUAGUAUAUAAAAAGGAAGGAAGUGGCGGAAGGAAG
RNAcentral lists this long non-coding RNA (787 nucleotides) under Junco hyemalis (dark-eyed junco). Its description in RNAcentral is "lncRNA (ENSJHYG00000014964.1)". The record is from RNAcentral. Lineage: Eukaryota; Metazoa; Chordata; Aves; Passeriformes; Passerellidae.